Molecule: long non-coding RNA, 372 nt
Organism: Dermochelys coriacea (leatherback sea turtle)
Lineage: Eukaryota; Metazoa; Chordata; Testudines; Dermochelyidae
Exons: 3
Source: RefSeq, a predicted model, not a curated record
CUGGAGAAUUUGUGUCUGCAGGGGAGCUGCCCAGACUGCCACAUGCCCUGGGAAGAUGGAGGAUGCCCCAUGGAUCUAGUGUAAAGAGUAAUUGAAGACACUCCCCCUGUGCCAAACUCAUGAGAUUCGGCAGGGCAGCUCUGAGCAGAGAUGUUGUGGAGGAGAAUAUGCAACAGAUCCCAUAUGUGAUACUCAGAGUAUGGAUAUAUAUCCUCUGUGCUCUUUGAAAAUUUUAUUAAAGAACUAUAUUUCCGGGGUUUGUUUCUCCCAUUAUUUUGAACCAUGAACAACAACCACACAGGCAAUCUUCAUAUCAAUAAAACAAUGAUAGUAAUUAGCUGAUAUUUGCAAAAUACCUUAAACUGUUGUAAA